Molecule: unclassified non-coding RNA, 341 nt
Filed under: soil metagenome
Description: partial contains 5.8S ribosomal RNA, internal transcribed spacer 2, and large subunit ribosomal RNA
Rfam family: 5.8S ribosomal RNA (bases 1-120)
Source: RNAcentral
GAUGAAGAACGUAGCGAAACGCGAAAGGUAAUGCGAAUUGCAGAAUUCAGUGAAUCAUCGAAUCUUUGAACGCACAUUGCGCCCUUUGGUAUUCCAAAGGGCAUGCCUGUUCGAGCGUCAUUUGUACCCUCAAGCUUUGCUUGGUGUUGGGCGUCUUGUCUCUAGCUUUGCUGGAGACUCGCCUUAAAGUAAUUGGCAGCCGGCCUACUGGUUUCGGAGCGCAGCACAAGUCGCACUCUCUAUCAGCAAAGGUCUAGCAUCCAUUAAGCCUUUUUUUCAACUUUUGACCUCGGAUCAGGUAGGGAUACCCGCUGAACUUAAGCAUAUCAAUAAGCGGAGGA